CUACGGGUUGCUGCAGUGAGGAAUAUUGCACAAUGGGGGGAACCCUGAUGCAGCAACGCCGCGUGGAGGAUGAAGCAUUUCGGUGUGUAAACUCCUUUUAUAUGUCAAGAAAAUGACGGUAGCAUAUGAAUAAGCACCGGCUAACUCCGGCCAGCAGCCGCGGUAAUACGGAGGGUGCAAGCGUUACUCGGAAUCACUGGGCGUAAAGGACGCGUAGGCGGGUUGGAAAGUCAGGUGUGAAAUCCUACAGCUUAACUGUAGAACUGCACUUGAAACUUCUAAUCUAGAGUAUGGGAGGGGGAGAUGGAAUUAGUGGUGUAGGGGUAAAAUCCGUAGAUAUCACUAGGAAUACCUAAAGCGAAGGCGAUCUCCUGGAACAUUACUGACGCUAAGGCGUGAAAGCGUGGGGAGCAAACAGGAUUAGAUACCCCGGUAGUC
RNAcentral lists this ribosomal RNA (438 nucleotides) under uncultured bacterium. Its description in RNAcentral is "partial 16S ribosomal RNA". It matches the Rfam family "Bacterial small subunit ribosomal RNA", at positions 339 to 795 of the family's 1533-position model. The record is from RNAcentral.